This 111-nucleotide transfer RNA is filed under the name Tyzzerella sp. OttesenSCG-928-J15. Its description in RNAcentral is "tRNA-Arg". It matches the Rfam family "tRNA". Rfam says of the family: Transfer RNA (tRNA) molecules are approximately 80 nucleotides in length. The record is from RNAcentral. Lineage: Bacteria; Bacillati; Bacillota; Clostridia; Lachnospirales; Lachnospiraceae.
GAAGGGAUAGCUCAGCUGGUAGAGCAGUAAAAUGCAUCUUGUGUAAAGAUGCUAACAGCAAUCCUUCCACUUCUAAUGGACAUGUCGGGGGUUCGACUCCCCCUCCCUUCA